GGUCUAUCAGUGGCUCCUCCCUCUCAGAGCUCUUGACUGUCUUAAAGUUUCUCUCUCUGAUCAUCUCAGCAUUAUUCUACAGCACUGCUCAUCUUUACACGUCACACGGACCAAAUCACAAGAUGAUCACAAUAUCCUGUGCUUUCUUUACUCUUCUGACCUGUGUCAGUGGAGUGACUGUAGUGACUCAGAGUCCAUUAAUCACAGUCAAUAAAGGACAAACGGCUAAAAUGGACUGUAAUCUGGGAACAGUAACUGGUUCUGCUGCUAGAUGGUACAAACAGACUCCAGGAGGAGUUCCUCAGUUUGUAUUAAUAUUUCACCAUACCUGGAGCUCUCCAACAUAUGGAUCUGGUUUCUCUGCUCCUAAAUUCACAUCAACACAUUCAUCUAAAUCAGAUUAUAGUCUGAUCAUCAAUAAUGUGGAUGUUGGUGAUUCUGCAGUGUAUUACUGUAAGACAUGGGACAGCUCUGUUAAUGAGUACGUAUCACAGUGAUUCACAGCAUGACAAAAACCUCCUCACUGCUCACAUUCACUUCUGCUUCUAGACAACAGAGGAUAAGAGCAAUAUUGAGCAAUGCAAUUUUUCAAAAGGCUUAUAAAUCAUACAGAAUGAGUUUUUUUGAGAAAGUAAAAGUGCUGAAUGUUUUCUGUGAUGGGUAGGUUUAGGGGUAGGGUUGGUGUAGGAAAUACGGUUUGUACAGUAUAAAAACCAUUACGCCUAUGGAAUGUCCCCACAAUUCACAAAAAUAAACGUGUGUGUGUGUGUGUGUGUGUGUGUGUGUGUGUGUGUGUGUGUGUGUGUGUGUGUGAGUGACCAUCGACUCCUCUGACUGGAUCAAUAAUGUGGAUUUCUCAUGUCAAGUGUCCGUGGGUUCAAAAUUCACUAAGAAAAGUAUCUCAAAUUCACAGUGUUACUGAAACAUUGUCUGAAUGAAAAUAACAUAAUGAUAAUAUCAUCUGGAUUGUGUGAUAUCUGACAGUUGAUAUGACUAUAUACUUUACUCUUUGGUUUUGGUUCAGCAAUUAAAAAUCUUUGGCACUGCAUUUGUUUGCAUUUUCUUUCACAGACACGCAUGACUCUCUCUCAGGAUACACCUGCACAAUGUGCCUCAUCAUUUUAGCUUUAUGUAAAUCAUGAUGUUCCUCUGAACUCUUUCAGAACUGAAACACACAAACUUAAGAA
Non-coding RNA from Megalobrama amblycephala (Wuchang bream), 1187 nucleotides. Lineage: Eukaryota; Metazoa; Chordata; Actinopteri; Cypriniformes; Xenocyprididae. The record is from the annotation of a RefSeq genome assembly.